This 78-nucleotide small RNA is filed under the name Xanthomonas campestris. RNAcentral describes it as "sX9 sRNA". It matches the Rfam family "Xanthomonas sRNA sX9". Lineage: Bacteria; Pseudomonadati; Pseudomonadota; Gammaproteobacteria; Lysobacterales; Lysobacteraceae. The record is from RNAcentral. RNAcentral also lists the same sequence under 2 other names.
AUGUACCCCCCACGUACACUCCGGUUCCUCCGCGCCGUCCGCACCCACCUGACGACUGCUCGCUACGUUUUGUUAGCC